RNAcentral lists this long non-coding RNA (210 nucleotides) under Sorghum bicolor (sorghum). Its description in RNAcentral is "long non-coding RNA (SBIC_LNC014920)". The record is from RNAcentral. Lineage: Eukaryota; Viridiplantae; Streptophyta; Magnoliopsida; Poales; Poaceae.
UAUGUCGUGUACAAGGACACUAAAACUAAAGAUCCAUUGAAUCUGAAGCCUAAGGAAAUGGAGAAGAACCUCCGGAGGUUCUUUUAUAACCAAAGGCAUACGGAGAAGAUACUCUUCCCUUACAAUAUGGGGUAAGUGUUGUGUUAUAUAAUGUCUUAGUUAAUCCAGCAUUAAGAUAUACAUAUAUAAGUUGACUCUAAACAAACGCAG